CUACGGAGGGGGCUAGCGUUGUUCGGAAUUACUGGGCGUAAAGCGUACGUAGGCGGACUGAUCAGUUGGGGGUGAAAUCCCAGGGCUUAACCCUGGAACUGCCUUCAAUACUGUCAGUCUUGAGUUUGGGAGAGGUGAGUGGAAUUCCUAGUGUAGAGGUGAAAUUCAUAGAUAUUAGGAGGAACACCAGUGGCGAAGGCGGCUCACUGGCCCAUUACUGACGCUGAGGUACGAAAGCGUGGGGAGCAAACAGGAUUAGAUACCCCAGUAGUCC
Molecule: ribosomal RNA, 274 nt
Filed under: uncultured bacterium
Lineage: Bacteria
Description: partial 16S ribosomal RNA
Rfam family: Bacterial small subunit ribosomal RNA
Source: RNAcentral